RNAcentral lists this ribosomal RNA (475 nucleotides) under uncultured soil bacterium. RNAcentral describes it as "bacterial SSU rRNA". It matches the Rfam family "Bacterial small subunit ribosomal RNA", at positions 26 to 518 of the family's 1533-position model. The record is from RNAcentral.
AGGACGAACGCUGGCGGCGUGCUUAACACAUGCAAGUCGAGCGGUAAGGCCCUUUCGGGGGUACACGAGCGGCGAACGGGUGAGUAACACGUGAGCAAUCUGCCCUUCACUUCGGGAUAAGCCUCGGAAACGGGGUCUAAUACCGGAUAUGACCGCGCUACGCAUGUGGUGUGGUGGAAAGUUCUGGCGGUGGAGGAUGAGCUCGCGGCCUAUCAGCUUGUUGGUGGGGUAAUGGCCUACCAAGGCUUCGACGGGUAGCCGGCCUGAGAGGGUGACCGGCCAACGACCUGGGACUGAGACACGGCCCAGACUCCUACGGGAGGCAGCAGUGGGGAAUAUUGGACAAUGGGCAAAGCCUGAUCCAGCAACGCGCGUGAGGAUGACGGCCUUCGGGUUGUAAACCUCUUCAGCGCCGACGAAGCGAGAGUGACGGUAGCGCAGAAGAAGCACCGGCCAACUACGUGCCAGCAGCCGC